GACAGAGGGUGCAAACGUUGUUCGGAAUUACUGGGCGUAAAGCGUGUGUAGGUGGCUGCGAAAGUCGGAUGUGAAAGCCCUGGGCUCAACUCAGGAAGUGCACCCGAUACUGCGUAGCUCGAGUACCGGAGAGGUUGGUAGAAUUCCAGGUGUAGCGGUGAAAUGCGUAGAUAUCUGGAGGAACACCGGUGGCGAAGGCGGCAUCCUGGACCAACACUGACACUGAAAAGCGAAAGCCAGGGGAGCAAACGGG
Molecule: ribosomal RNA, 253 nt
Filed under: uncultured bacterium
Lineage: Bacteria
Description: partial 16S ribosomal RNA
Rfam family: Bacterial small subunit ribosomal RNA
Source: RNAcentral